Molecule: long non-coding RNA, 329 nt
Organism: Ostrinia furnacalis (Asian corn borer)
Lineage: Eukaryota; Metazoa; Arthropoda; Insecta; Lepidoptera; Crambidae
Exons: 2
Source: RefSeq, a predicted model, not a curated record
GUCGGCCGCACCAGCCUCCAAACCCGCGUCGGAGGACUACAAGCGCGCCGGCCGCGCCAACGGCCUGCAGCGCCGCCCAGCUCAGCAUGAUAUCCAAUUGCCCCCCAUAAACGUGGUCCCGUGCAAGACGGAAUCGUGUCGCUGCGACCUGAAGCAGUGACCAAAUAAAACGACGUAGUUUAGAAAAUAUUGUAUUUAUUUAUUCAACUUUAGAACGUGUUCGUACUAUUAUUUUAACAUAGAGAGCGUUUGUUUAUGGCACGAGUGUGAUACUUAAUUUGUGACUAGAGAGAAUGGUGGAUAGUGAUGAUGUCAAAUUUCUGUGAAAA